RNAcentral lists this ribosomal RNA (443 nucleotides) under uncultured bacterium. RNAcentral describes it as "partial 16S ribosomal RNA". It matches the Rfam family "Bacterial small subunit ribosomal RNA", at positions 338 to 795 of the family's 1533-position model. The record is from RNAcentral.
CCUACGGGUGGCAGCAGUGGGGAAUAUUGCACAAUGGGCGGGAGCCUGAUGCAGCAACGCCGCGUGAAGGAAGACGGUUUUCGGAUUGUAAACUUCUAUCAAUAGGGGAGAAAGAAAUGACGGUACCUAAAUAAGAAGCCCCGGCUAACUACGUGCCAGCAGCCGCGGUAAUACGAAGGGGGCGGGCGUUAUCCGGAAUUACUGGGUGUAAAGGGAGAGUGGGCGGCAAGGUAAGCGAUAUGUGAAAGCCUUAAGCUUAACUUAAGGAUUGCAUAACGAACUAUCUAGCUAGAGUACAGGAGAGGAAAGCGGAAUUCCUAGUGUAGCGGUGAAAUGCGUAGAUAUUAGGAAGAACACCAGUGGCGAAGGCGGCUUUCUGGACUGAAACUGACGCUGAGGCUCGAAAGCGUGGGGAGCGAACAGGAUUAGAUACCCUUGUAGUC